RNAcentral lists this ribosomal RNA (463 nucleotides) under uncultured bacterium. RNAcentral's name for it is "bacterial SSU rRNA". It matches the Rfam family "Bacterial small subunit ribosomal RNA", at positions 28 to 526 of the family's 1533-position model. The record is from RNAcentral.
GAUAAACGCUGGCGGCGUGCCUAAAACAUGCAAGUCGAACGGCACCUUCGGGUGUAGUGGCGGACGGCUGAGUAACACGUGGGUGACCUGCCUCCGAGCGGGGGAUAACUGCCCGAAAGGGUGGCUAAUACCGCAGACAUCCAUCAUUCGGUUGAUGGAUUGAACUUGAGGGGUUCGGAGAGGGGCCCGCGGCCGAUUAGCUAGCUGGUGGGGUAACGGCCUACCAGGGCGACGAUCGGUAGCUGGUCUGAGAGGAUGAUCAGCCAGACUGGGACUGCGAACGGCCCAGACUCCUACGGGAGGCAGCAGUUAGGAAUUUUGGGCAAUGGGCGAAAGCCUGACCCAGCAACGCCGCGUGGGUGAUGAAGGCCCUCGGGUCGUAAAGCCCUUUUCCCAGGGACGAUGGUGACGGUACCUGGGGAAUCAGCCCCGGCUAACUACGUGCCAGCCGCCGCCGUAAAAC